Molecule: transfer RNA, 71 nt
Filed under: Crassvirales sp.
Lineage: Duplodnaviria; Heunggongvirae; Uroviricota; Caudoviricetes; Crassvirales
Description: tRNA-Gln
Rfam family: tRNA
About the family: Transfer RNA (tRNA) molecules are approximately 80 nucleotides in length. Their secondary structure includes four short double-helical elements and three loops (D, anti-codon, and T loops).
Source: RNAcentral
UGUCCUAUGGUGUAAUGGUAGCACAACAGAUUUUGGUUCUGUUAGUGGUGGUUCAAAUCCUCCUUGGACAA